This 254-nucleotide ribosomal RNA is filed under the name uncultured bacterium. Its description in RNAcentral is "partial 16S ribosomal RNA". It matches the Rfam family "Bacterial small subunit ribosomal RNA", at positions 524 to 776 of the family's 1533-position model. The record is from RNAcentral.
CACGUAGGGGGCGAGCGUUGUCCGGAUUUAUUGGGCGUAAAGAGCUCGUAGGUGGCUUAGUAAGUCGGGUGUGAAACCUCCAGGCUCAACCUGGAGACGCCACCCGAUACUGCUAUAGCUUGAGUCCGGUAGGGGAGCGUGGAAUUCCUGGUGUAGCGGUGAAAUGCGCAGAUAUCAGGAGGAACACCGAUGGCGAAGGCAGGUCUCUGGGCCAUAACUGACGCUGAGAAGCGAAAGCAUGGGGAGCGAACAGG